Molecule: ribosomal RNA, 458 nt
Filed under: uncultured bacterium
Lineage: Bacteria
Description: bacterial SSU rRNA
Rfam family: Bacterial small subunit ribosomal RNA
Source: RNAcentral
CUACGGGAGGCAGCAGUGAGGAAUAUUGGUCAAUGGACGCAAGUCUGAACCAGCCAUGCCGCGUGAAGGAUGAAGGCCUUCUGGGUUGUAAACUUCUUUUACCUGGGAAGAAACCCCUAUUUUCUAAUAGGGUUGACGGUACCAGAGGAAUAAGCACCGGCUAACUCCGUGCCAGCAGCCGCGGUAAUACGGAGGGUGCAAGCGUUAUCCGGAUUUACUGGGUUUAAAGGGUGUGUAGGCGGGCUUUUAAGUCAGUGGUGAAAUCUCCGGGCUCAACCUGGAAACUGCCAUUGAUACUAUUAGUCUUGAAUUUUGUUGAGGUAGGCGGAAUAUGUCAUGUAGCGGUGAAAUGCAUAGAUAUGACAUAGAACACCAAUUGCGAAGGCAGCUUGCUAAACAAAUAUUGACGCUGAGGCACGAAAGCGUGGGGAUCAAACAGGAUUAGAUACCCCGGUAGC